AAACGACAGAAAGCACACAAUGCGAAGAUGAGGAGCUGGAGCACUUGAGGUUGCUUGAACCACAUUGCUUUCCUUUGUCUUUGGUUCCAACAGAAUUCUGUCCAUCACCUCCUGCCUUGAAAGAUGGAUUUGUUCAAGAUGAAGGUACAAUGUUUCCUGUGGGGAAAAAUGUAGUGUACACUUGCAAUGAAGGAUACUCUCUUAUUGGAAACCCAGUGGCCAGAUGUGGAGAAGAUUUACGGUGGCUUGUUGGGGAAAUGCAUUGUCAGAAAAUUGCCUGUGUUCUACCUGUACUGAUGGAUGGCAUACAGAGUCACCCCCAAAAACCUUUCUACACAGUUGGUGAGAAGGUGACUGUUUCCUGUUCAGGUGGCAUGUCCUUAGAAGGUCCUUCAGCAUUUCUCUGUGGCUCCAGCCUUAAGUGGAGUCCUGAGAUGAAGAAUGCCCGCUGUGUACAAAAAGAAAAUCCGUUAACACAGGCAGUGCCUAAAUGUCAGCGCUGGGAGAAACUGCAGAAUUCAAGAUGUGUUUGUAAAAUGCCCUACGAAUGUGGACCUUCCUUGGAUGUAUGUGCUCAAGAUGAGAGAAGCAAAAGGAUACUGCCUCUGACAGUUUGCAAGAUGCAUGUUCUCCACUGUCAGGGUAGAAAUUACACCCUUACUGGUAGGGACAGCUGUACUCUGCCUGCCUCAGCUGAGAAAGCUUGUGGUGCCUGCCCACUGUGGGGAAAAUGUGAUGCUGAGAGCAGCAAAUGUGUCUGCCGAGAAGCAUCGGAGUGCGAGGAAGAAGGGUUUAGCAUUUGUGUGGAAGUGAACGGCAAGGAGCAGACGAUGUCUGAGUGUGAGGCGGGCGCUCUGAGAUGCAGAGGGCAGAGCAUCUCUGUCACCAGCAUAAGGCCUUGUGCUGCGGAAACCCAGUAGGCUCCUGGAGGCCCUGGUCAGCUUGCUUGGAAUCCAGCAGGCAGCUGGGGCUGAGUGAAAACAUCUGCACAACUGGGCACUGGACAGCUUUUCCUUCUUCUCCAGUGUCUACCUUCCUCCUCAACUCCCAGCCAUCUGUAUAAACACAAUCCUUUGUUCUCCCAAAUCUGAAUCGAAUUACUCUUUUGCCUCCUUUUUAAUGUCAGUAAGGAUAUGAGCCUUUGCACAGGCUGGCUGCGUGUUCUUGAAAUAGGUGUUACCUUCUCUGGGCCUUGGUUUUUUAAAAUCUGUAAAAUUAGAGGAUUGCACUAGAGAAACUUGAAUGCUCCAUUCAGGCCUAUCAUUUUAUUAAGUAUGAUUGACACAGCCCAUGGGCCAGAACACACUCUACAAAAUGACUAGGAUAACAGAAAGAACGUGAUCUCCUGAUUAGAGAGGGUGGUUUUCCUCAAUGGAACCAAAUAUAAAGAGGACUUGAACAAAAAUGACAGAUACAAACUAUUUCUAUCCUGAGUAGUAAUCUCACACUUCAUCCUAUAGAGUCAACCACCACAGAUAGGAAUUCCUUAUUCUUUUUUUAAUUUUUUUAAGACAGAGUCUCACUUUGUUGCCCAGGCUGGAGCGCAGUGGGGUGAUCUCAUCUCCCUGCAACCUCCGCCUCCUGGGUUCAAGCGAUUCUUGUGCCUCAGCUUCCCAAGCAGCUGGGAUUACAGGUGCCCGCCACCACGCCCAGCUAAUUUUUGCAUUUUUAGUAGAGAUGGGGUUUCACCAUGUUGGCCACGCUCGUCUCCAACUCCUGACCUCAGGUAAUCCGCCUGCCUUGGCCUCCCAAAGUGCUGGGAUUACAGACAUGAACCACCACGCCUGGCUGGAAUACUUACUCUUGUCGGGAGAUUGAACCACUAAAAUGUUAGAGCAGAAUUCAUUAUGCUGUGGUCACAGGGGUGUCUUGUCUGAGAACAAAUACAAUUCAGUCUUCUCUUUGGGGUUUUAGUAUGUGUCAAACAUAGGACUGGAAGUUUGCCCCUGUUCUUUUUUCUUUUGAAAGAACAUCAGUUCAUGCCUGAGGCAUGAGUGACUGUGCAUUUGAGAAUAGUUUUCCCUAUUCUGUGGAUACAGUCCCAGAGUUUUCAGGGAGUACACAGGUAGAUUAGUUUGAAGCAUUGACCUUUUAUUUAUUCCUUAUUUCUCUUUCAUCAAAACAAAACAGCAGCUGUGGGAGGAGAAAUGAGAGGGCUUAAAUGAAAUUUAAAAUAAGCUAUAUUAUACAAAUACUAUCUCUGUAUUGUUCUGACCCUGGUAAAUAUAUUUCAAAACUUCAGAUGACAAGGAUUAGAACACUCAUUAAAGAUGCUAUUCUUC
This 2282-nucleotide long non-coding RNA is filed under the name Homo sapiens (human). RNAcentral's name for it is "long non-coding RNA NONHSAT202532.1". Lineage: Eukaryota; Metazoa; Chordata; Mammalia; Primates; Hominidae. The record is from RNAcentral.